UCAGCGGUGACACUCGGAGCGAACACACACUCCCCGCUCGGAGCCGCCAGACAGCGGAGCGAACCGAGCCGCGCGCCAGCAUCGUCCCGCCGCCCGGCGCCCGCACGCCCCCCGCCUUUUCAAAGGCCCUCCCGCCGCUCCCAGCUCCGCCCGGGACUCCCCGGCCCGCGCGGCUCCCGGCUUCGCUUCGCGGCCACUUCGGCGGCCGCCCGCCGCGCGCCCUCGCCCGCCUUUGAAGUUUGCUGUGCCGGUGGCAAAGUUGGGACGCUUCCGCCGACGGAAUUUUUCGCUUCUCCCCGCUCCGCCCCCUCCCUCUGGUCACCCGGUUCCCGGACGCCGGCGCCGGGCUGCUCGCGCCGCACCUCGGGGCGGCCGCUCUCCGCCUCCCCCGGGAGGCCGGACGGAUCUCUGAGGGUGUGAUACUUCCCAGCGUGGCUUCCAUCCUAAGGAUGCUGCCCGUCACUUCUUUUCUCCUCCAGCCCGCGUUUCUCGCCGGUCUGGUCCACUCUGUGAACUCACCGUCUGCAUCUUCGUGGCCCAGGCCUGGGCAGCCCCCUGCAGUCCCGAUUAUUCCGUUGACUUUAGGAUUGCUCCGCUGAUGCUGUUGCUUCCCAAAAACGUGCCUGGAAGCCUAAGUUAUAUGACUUUGGCAGGUCAACAGGAAAUAAGGCUUAGUUGCCAAACUAAGAAAGCAACCAGGCAUAUUACUGUUCCCUGAGGAGCUUUCAUUAUUCCAGCAGUCAUCAGUUUCUCCCAAGACAGUGGAAGUUAUCCCAGCUACGUCACUUGUCACAUGACAUUUUGGUAGGAAGAAGGUAUGCAGUAU
Molecule: long non-coding RNA, 826 nt
Organism: Lemur catta (Ring-tailed lemur)
Lineage: Eukaryota; Metazoa; Chordata; Mammalia; Primates; Lemuridae
Exons: 3
Source: RefSeq, a predicted model, not a curated record